This 118-nucleotide ribosomal RNA is filed under the name Jaculus jaculus (lesser Egyptian jerboa). Lineage: Eukaryota; Metazoa; Chordata; Mammalia; Rodentia; Dipodidae. The record is from RNAcentral.
GUCUUUGGCCAUACCACCCUGAAAGCGUCUGAUCUUGUCUGAUCUUGAAAGCUAAGCAGGGUCAGGCCUGGUUAGUACUUGGAUGGGAGAAAGAGCAGGUCAGGUACAGCUGUGGGUC